Operophtera brumata (winter moth) is the source of this 46-nucleotide non-coding RNA. Lineage: Eukaryota; Metazoa; Arthropoda; Insecta; Lepidoptera; Geometridae. The record is from Rfam.
CUACAGGCUCUUUUCAGAGCCACAUCGUAGCCACAACAUCGCAUCA